RNAcentral lists this small RNA (273 nucleotides) under Drosophila willistoni. Its description in RNAcentral is "GK28138". Lineage: Eukaryota; Metazoa; Arthropoda; Insecta; Diptera; Drosophilidae. The record is from RNAcentral.
AUAAAGAAAUCGAAAGACUUACCAAUUUAAAUGGAUUGAAAAGACGUUAUGCGCACCAAGUGCAUUCCAAAACCAAAGAAGUAACACCUUGGAAGCCUCUGUAUAAAAAAAUCGCAGGUAACAAUUAUGAGUUGGAAGAUAACCUGGAUUCAUAUGAAACUGAUAAUAGUUUGAAAAAAAGUGAAGAUGAAAUUAUCACCGAACAUCAAUAUUUAUCCCGAUGCAAUGACCAAAUCAAGCACGAAUUGUUGAAUGAUUCAACUAGUGAUUCUG